UACGGAGGGGGCAAGCGUUGUUCGGAAUUACUGGGCGUAAAGGGCGCGCAGGCGGCUGCUCAAGUCAGGCGUGAAAGGCCUGGGCUCAACCCGGGGAAUUGCGCUUGAGACUGGGCUGGCUUGAGUGCGGGAGAGGAUGGUGGAAUUCCCAGUGUAGAGGUGAAAUUCGUAGAUAUUGGGAAGAACACCGGUGGCGAAGGCGGCCAUCUGGACCGGCAUUGACGCUGAGGAGCGAAAGCUAGGGGAGCAAACGGGG
Molecule: ribosomal RNA, 256 nt
Filed under: uncultured bacterium
Lineage: Bacteria
Description: partial 16S ribosomal RNA
Rfam family: Bacterial small subunit ribosomal RNA
Source: RNAcentral